AGCUUCCCACAGCGGACACAGCAGGUGUAUCUCUCCACCCGCGGAGAAGUGAGGAACUCCAACACUCCUCCUUAGUGUGCAGAGCCGCUCCUCUCUUCUGGAUUAAUUCCCCAAGAGCAUCUCCAAGUGGGAUUCACAGAGCGAACCCCAGUGCAAGGUUGUAUAUCCUACUGUAAGUCGUUCUAGUUCUUCUACAUGAGCCGCCGCCACAGCGUGGCUACCGACAGAUGGGUGAUGUGGUUCUGCACCCGGGGAUGGAACCCAGGCCUUGGAAUCCGCUGAAGCGAUGAGAGCUGAACUUUAACCCCCAGGCCCUCAGAGCUGGCUCAGGAUUCUUCCUGAUUCGCCUUUUCCUGAGGGAGCAGCCUCCUGUCAGCCUGCCCAGCCGUCUGUCUCAUCACAAAGACCUCACCCUCUGGGGACAGGAGCGCCUGCAGGAGGAGCCCCGUGAGCUGACUCAGCACUCUGAUCUCUUUGGCCACACCCUGCACCAGCGCCCUGAUGUGUUUAAGAGCAAGAGUGAGAUCCAUUGCUUUGCUCUGAUCUCAUUGCUCUGCUUUGAUCUCAUUGCUCCUGUGGGAUGGCAGAGGAACACAAAAACCAAACUGGAACUUAAAGUUACGGUCGCAAGACACAGAAAAAGAAUUUUUCUACUUUGCCCUCCAUCCAUGGUCCAUCUGCACAAAUGGGAGCAGCCCGGACAGAAUGCUGCCUCCACCUCAGUCGAUGGGCAGUGAGGCUGAGCAUGGCCAAAAGGCCCUCGGAGCGCGUGGAGACUGGCUUCAGGAAAAGGGAGAGACAAGAGCCACACAGAGCCAGCCCCUUGGAGGACCUGCCGGGGAAUCGUCUACAACAUCAACGCCCUCUUCCCAUAGGACAUUUAUGGAGCCACUGCUGGAGGUCAGGCUUGACCAAUGACAACAACCGAGUAAAGGAAGUUAAUG
This 944-nucleotide long non-coding RNA is filed under the name Equus caballus (horse). Its description in RNAcentral is "lncRNA (ENSECAG00000059562.1)". The record is from RNAcentral. Lineage: Eukaryota; Metazoa; Chordata; Mammalia; Perissodactyla; Equidae.